GUCUACGUGCACGGUGCACACAUACACGUAGCCACUGUUGUAGUGCCAGCGCAUGCAUUUCCCUUUCAGUUGGCAGUUUCUACCGUCCUCCAGACGGAGCAAGCAGGCGCGACGACCGUGCAUGCAUGCAUGCAGGGCAAGUAUAUAUUAGUAUAUUACUCUACUCAUUACAUGGACAGAGCUGUCCCCGGGCAGCACAACAAUUCGUGCGAGGGAGGCGAGCAUGCAUUUGGCACAGGAGGAGGAUCAAAAGGGAGCCAUCGAUUGCUGCUGCUCCGUCUCUCAAGUCUCACCACGCUGGCUCCUCUUUAGAGCACCCUGCACCCUGAGUCCUGACAACACAAAGCUCUUGAAAGCGAGGCACAGCACAAGCCCCGUCUGCUCUGCUCCACCACGAAAGGAUCCUCCAAGUCCAAAGCCAAAGGGGAAACAUGCGUCUGAAUCAUGCGUGUUUGUCUACACCGUUCGCUGGCCGUUGUUCAGCCUUAUGAACUUGUAUAAGUCCCCCAAACCGUUACAUAUAAAUACUAAUCACUAUUGUGUACAUACUCCCUCCAUCUCCAAAUAAAUCUGUG
This 575-nucleotide unclassified non-coding RNA is filed under the name Zea mays. RNAcentral's name for it is "misc RNA Zm00001eb250920". Lineage: Eukaryota; Viridiplantae; Streptophyta; Magnoliopsida; Poales; Poaceae. The record is from RNAcentral.